RNAcentral lists this ribosomal RNA (253 nucleotides) under uncultured bacterium. RNAcentral's name for it is "partial 16S ribosomal RNA". It matches the Rfam family "Bacterial small subunit ribosomal RNA", at positions 524 to 776 of the family's 1533-position model. The record is from RNAcentral.
GACAGAGGGUGCAAACGUUGUUCGGAAUUACUGGGCGUAAAGCGCGUGUAGGCUGCUCAGAAAGUCGGAUGUGAAAGCCCUGGGCUUAACCUAGGAAGUGCAUUCGAAACUUCUGAGCUAGAGUUCUGGAGAGGAAGGCGGAAUUCUCGGUGUAGAGGUGAAAUUCGUAGAUAUCGAGAGGAACACCGGUGGCGAAGGCGGCCUUCUGGACAGUGACUGACGCUGAGACGCGAAAGCGUGGGGAGCGAACGGG